CUCUUUUACUGUUUGUUUAUAUUCUGUUACUGAACUGCAAAGUUCUCAGUGGAAAGGAGGUUUCAGACGGAAAACCAUGGAGAGAUAAUGGCCAGCCCAGGCAGGAGCUUGUUGCUGUGACCAGAAGCAGAGGAAGAGGCUGCCACUUGCACAUCCAGCAGUGAUGAGACAGCAGCACGUCACUCCUGAAAGACGCGGAGAAAUGCUGUGAGCUCCUAGCGGUGAAGAGUGUCCCCUCUAAAGGGGACGAAAGUACUCCAAUGCACUGUGAGGCGGCAGCGUGGACACUAACAGAGAUGUGAGAAGAUACUGGUUUCUUUUCAGCAUCCAGAAGCUGACUGUACACUUCAUAAUAUGGAGACACAGAAGAGAGACCCCCGUCUCUAGGAGAAGAUACAAGAUGGGAGUAUCAGUCCAAGAGAAUUUCGAACUGUUGGCACUCAGCAUGGUUUCAAGAAUCCUGAUGUCCAAACUAGC
Long non-coding RNA from Struthio camelus australis, 477 nucleotides. RefSeq lists it as uncharacterized. NCBI's taxonomy places the organism in Eukaryota, Metazoa, Chordata, Aves, Struthioniformes, Struthionidae. The record is from RefSeq and is a predicted model, not a curated record.